UGCAGUCGAACGGCAGCACAGUAAGAGCUUGCUCUUAUGGGUGGCGAGUGGCGGACGGGUGAGGAAUACAUCGGAAUCUACCUUUUCGUGGGGGAUAACGUAGGGAAACUUACGCUAAUACCGCAUACGACCUUCGGGUGAAAGCAGGGGACCUUCGGGCCUUGCGCGGAUAGAUGAGCCGAUGUCGGAUUAGCUAGUUGGCGGGGUAAAGGCCCACCAAGGCGACGAUCCGUAGCUGGUCUGAGAGGAUGAUCAGCCACACUGGAACUGAGACACGGUCCAGACUCCUACGGGAGGCAGCAGUGGGGAAUAUUGGACAAUGGGCGCAAGCCUGAUCCAGCCAUACCGCGUGGGUGAAGAAGGCCUUCGGGUUGUAAAGCCCUUUUGUUGGGAAAGAAAAGCAGUCGAUUAAUACUCGGUUGUUCUGACGGUACCCAAAGAAUAAGCACCGGCUAACUUCGUGCCAGCAGCCGCGGUAAUACGAAGGGUGCAAGCGUUACUCGGAAUUACUGGGCGUAAAGCGUGCGUAGGUGGUUGUUUAAGUCUGUUGUGAAAGCCCUGGGCUCAACCUGGGAAUUGCAGUGGAUACUGGGCGACUAGAGUGUGGUAGAGGGUAGUGGAAUUCCCGGUGUAGCAGUGAAAUGCGUAGAGAUCGGGAGGAACAUCCAUGGCGAAAGGCAGCUACCUGGACCAACACUGACACUGAGGCACGAAAGCG
Molecule: ribosomal RNA, 718 nt
Filed under: Stenotrophomonas sp.
Lineage: Bacteria; Pseudomonadati; Pseudomonadota; Gammaproteobacteria; Lysobacterales; Lysobacteraceae
Description: bacterial SSU rRNA
Rfam family: Bacterial small subunit ribosomal RNA
Source: RNAcentral